CCUACGGGUGGCAGCAGUGAGGAAUAUUGGUCAAUGGACGAGAGUCUGAACCAGCCAAGUAGCGUGAAGGAUGACUGCCCUAUGGGUUGUAAACUUCUUUUAUAAAGGAAUAAAACGAGGCACGUGUGCCUUUUUGCAUGUACUUUAUGAAUAAGGAUCGGCUAACUCCGUGCCAGCAGCCGCGGUAAUACGGAGGAUCCGAGCGUUAUCCGGAUUUAUUGUGUUUAAGGGGUGCGUAUGCGGGAAUUUAAGCCUGGGGUAAAAUGUCGGGGCUCAACGCCGAACUGCAGUUGGAACUGGGUGCCUUGAGUGUGCGAGAGGGAUGCGGAAUGCGUGGUGUAGCGGUGAAAUGCAUAGAUAUCACGCAGAACCCCGAUUGCGAAGGCAGCAUACCGGCGCCCCACUGACGCUGAGGAACGAAAGUGCGGGUAUCGAACAGGAUUAGAUACCCUUGUAGUC
Molecule: ribosomal RNA, 459 nt
Filed under: uncultured bacterium
Lineage: Bacteria
Description: partial 16S ribosomal RNA
Rfam family: Bacterial small subunit ribosomal RNA
Source: RNAcentral